Molecule: ribosomal RNA, 253 nt
Filed under: uncultured bacterium
Lineage: Bacteria
Description: partial 16S ribosomal RNA
Rfam family: Bacterial small subunit ribosomal RNA
Source: RNAcentral
UACGUAGGGGGCGAGCGUUGUCCGGAAUUAUUGGGCGUAAAGAGCGUGUAGGCGGUUCGGUAAGUCUGCCGUGAAAACCCAGGGCUCAACCCUGGGCGUGCGGUGGAUACUGCCGGGCUAGAGGGUGGUAGAGGCGAGUGGAAUUCCGAGUGUAGCGGUGAAAUGCGCAGAUAUUCGGAGGAACACCAGUAGCGAAGGCGGCUCGCUGGGCCAUACCUGACGCUGAGACGCGAAAGCGUGGGGAGCAAACAGG